ACCUUACUACAUGGAUACCUGUGGUAAUUCUAGAGCUAAUACAUGCUAAAAACCCCGACUCACGAAGGGGUGUAUUUAUUAGAUAAAAAACCAACGCCCUUCGGGGCUCCUUGGUGAAUCAUAAUAACUUAACGAAUCGCAUGGCCUUGCGCCGGCGAUGGUUCAUUCAAAUUUCUGCCCUAUCAACUUUCGAUGGUAGGAUAGUGGCCUACCAUGGUGGCAACGGGUAACGGGGAAUUAGGGUUCGAUUCCGGAGAGGGAGCCUGAGAAACGGCUACCACAUCCAAGGAAGGCAGCAGGCGCGCAAAUUACCCAAUCCCGAUACGGGGAGGUAGUGACAAUAAAUACUGAUACGGGGCUCUUUUGGGUCUCGUAAUUGGAAUGAGAACAAUUUAAAUCCCUUAACGAGGAACAAUUGGAGGGCAAGUCUKGUGCCAGCAGCCGCGGUAAUUCCAGCUCCAAUAGCGUAUAUUAAAGUUGUUGCAGUUAAAAAGCUCGUAGUUGAACCUUGGGUCUGGCUGGCCGGUCCGCCUCACCGCGAGUACUGGUCCGGCUGGACCUUUUCCUUCUGGGGAACCUCAUGGCCUUCACUGG
RNAcentral lists this ribosomal RNA (594 nucleotides) under Penicillium sacculum. RNAcentral's name for it is "SSU rRNA". It matches the Rfam family "Eukaryotic small subunit ribosomal RNA", at positions 130 to 728 of the family's 1831-position model. The record is from RNAcentral. Lineage: Eukaryota; Fungi; Ascomycota; Eurotiomycetes; Eurotiales; Aspergillaceae.